ACGCACGCUGGCGGCGUGCUUCACACAUGCAAGUCGCACGGUGAAGCGCCUUCCUUUUUGGUGGGUGUGGAUGAGUGGCGAACGGGUGAGUAACACGUGAGUAACCUGCCCCCUUCUUCUGGAUAACCGCAUGAAAGUGUGGCUAAUACGGGAUAUUCUGGGUCUGUCGCAUGAUGGGUCUGGGGAAGAUGUUGUUUCGGUGGGGGAUGGGCUUGCGGCCUAUCAGCUUGUUGGUGGGGUGAUGGCCUACCAAGGCGGUGACGGGUAGCCGGCCUGAGAGGGUGGACGGUCACACUGGGACUGAGACACGGCCCAGACUCCUACGGGAGGCAGCAGUGGGGAAUAUUGCACAAUGGGCGCAAGCCUGAUGCAGCGACGCCGCGGGAGGGAUGGAGGCCUUCGGGUUGCGAACCUCUUUCGCCAGUGAAGCAGGCCUGCCUCGUUUGUGGGUGGGUUGACGGUAGCUGGAUAAGAAGCGCCGGCUAACUACGUG
RNAcentral lists this ribosomal RNA (493 nucleotides) under uncultured bacterium. Its description in RNAcentral is "partial 16S ribosomal RNA". It matches the Rfam family "Bacterial small subunit ribosomal RNA", at positions 29 to 507 of the family's 1533-position model. The record is from RNAcentral.